UAGGGAAUAUUGGGCAAUGGAGGGAACUCUGACCCAGCCAUGCCGCGUGCAGGAUGAAGGCGUUAUGCGUUGUAAACUGCUUUUAUAUAGGAAGAAAUAGUCCUUGCGAGGAAAGUUGACGGUACUAUAUGAAUAAGCACCGGCUAACUCCGUGCCAGCAGCCGCGGUAAUACGGAGGGUGCAAGCGUUGUCCGGAUUUAUUGGGUUUAAAGGGUGCGUAGGUGGCCCUGUAAGUCAGUGGUGAAAUAUCUCAGCUUAACUGAGAGGGUGCCAUUGAUACUGCAGGGCUUGAGUACAGAUGAGGUAGGCGGAAUUGACGGUGUAGCGGUGAAAUGCAUAGAUAUCGUCAAGAACACCGAUAGCGAAGGCAGCUUACCAAGCUGUAACUGACACUGAGGCACGAAAGUGUGGGGAUCAAACAGGAUUAGAUACCCCCGUAGUCCCUGAGCGGGCUGGCAAGGCGCAU
This 466-nucleotide ribosomal RNA is filed under the name uncultured bacterium. Its description in RNAcentral is "bacterial SSU rRNA". It matches the Rfam family "Bacterial small subunit ribosomal RNA", at positions 355 to 825 of the family's 1533-position model. The record is from RNAcentral.